GUCCAUGUAGCUCAGUAGGUAGAGCAGCAGACUGAAAAUCUGCGUGUCGGUAGUUCAAUUCUACCCGUGGACA
This 73-nucleotide transfer RNA is filed under the name Caudoviricetes sp. RNAcentral describes it as "tRNA-Phe". It matches the Rfam family "tRNA". Rfam says of the family: Transfer RNA (tRNA) molecules are approximately 80 nucleotides in length. Their secondary structure includes four short double-helical elements and three loops (D, anti-codon, and T loops). Further hydrogen bonds mediate the characteristic L-shaped molecular structure. tRNAs have two regions of fundamental functional importance: the anti-codon, which is responsible for specific mRNA codon recognition, and the 3' end, to which the tRNAs corresponding amino acid is attached (by aminoacyl-tRNA synthetases). tRNAs cope with the degeneracy of the genetic code in two manners: having more than one tRNA (with a specific anti-codon) for a particular amino acid; and 'wobble' base-pairing, i.e. permitting non-standard base-pairing at the 3rd anti-codon position. Lineage: Duplodnaviria; Heunggongvirae; Uroviricota; Caudoviricetes. The record is from RNAcentral.